Calliphora vicina (urban bluebottle blowfly) is the source of this 2684-nucleotide long non-coding RNA. RefSeq lists it as uncharacterized. The transcript is spliced from 3 exons. The record is from RefSeq and is a predicted model, not a curated record. Lineage: Eukaryota; Metazoa; Arthropoda; Insecta; Diptera; Calliphoridae.
CAGGUUUCUGCUAAUCAGCUGUUUUUGUUUACAUUUAUUUUUUUAACAAAAUUUUUAUUUCUUUGUGUAAAAGUUGUUGCAGAAUUGUUAUUAAUGGACGCUAUAGAAAAUAUUCAGAUAACGAUCAAACGUGUACGCACCAAUCCUCCCAGAAAAUGGAGUGUAGUAUAGGAAAUGGCGCUAAUUGAAUUUUAGAUUUGAAAUAACACACUAAGUUAACCUUCGCUUUACCAAUACCCACCCGGGUGACCACAUCGAUUUUAUUGGUUUAAUAUUUUUUUUUAAUUUUGUUUCGAUUUAAAUGAAAUUUGUACUCACUGAACAAAUUCUAGAGUUCUAUAGAAUUUAAUAGAACCAUUUUAAACUUUUUAUAAGGUUUUUUAAAUUUUUUAAAAUUUCGUUCGUCGCAUAUAUUUAUAGAAGUGUAGUGUCACCCGGGUGGGUAUUGGUAAACCAUGUACAUAAAAAACCUUUGGUAAAGCGAAGGUUAAGAGGGGUUAUUCACAUCAGUCGUAUUUUGUUCAUGAUAUUAUUUUAGUACUUCUGAACUUAGAAUACCUUGUGAAUCCACUUAAUAUAUAUUAAUUACAAUGUGAGUCAGAGGUAAUAAGAAUUAAAUGAAAAUGCAAAUUCAUUACAAACAUAACAUGUCUCUUAAUAACACGGACAUUUCAACGACAACGGAAAAAUGUUUUACAAACAUCGAAUUGGUCACAAAUAUUUGCAAAUUUUUAAACUACGAACAACAAUUUCAAUUGUCAAAUGUCUCUCGAGAAUUAAAUCAUAUAAUUGUGAAUUUCGUAUGGAAAUCUAAAUUUAAAGAAGUGGAAAUACUCAUAUUUCAUGAAACAACAGAUAUCUUAGUAUCGAAUCGAAUUGAUAUACAAGCAAAUGAUUUCCUUAGUAGUGCCAAAAAAUGUGAUAUAAUAAGCAAGCAAAGCUUAUUUUUUAAAACUAAUGACUUAGAUAUUAGCUUAAAUAUAAACGCACAUAAUAUUAAAAAAAUGCAAUUAAUAGCAAGUGAUUAUUACGAAAGUGUUAUAGUUAAAUUUCCUUUAAAGCAAAACUUCAAAAAUCUUAACUAUCUAAGUUAUGUGCGCAUUACAUUGGCAAGUGAGGACCUACAAAAACUGGCCGAUAAUUGUUUGAAACUAGAAACUUUGGUUUUGUGUAAUUGCUUGAAUUCAGAGGGUCAAACAUUGGUUUUAGAUAAUGACAUCGAUAUUCAGAUUAUAAAAAACAUGGCGAAUUUAAAAAACUUAAUUAUAAGAGACAGCAACGGGGACAGUGACAGACAACAUUUGUACACCAUUUCAAAUAUUGAACAUAUUUUAAAUCAAACGAAAUUGCAGUGUCUUAACAUAAAUGUUCAUAUUCAUCCUGACAGCAAUACACUUCAAAAGGAAUUAACUUUUAAUAGUUUGAAAUGUUGCACAAAUUUUCAAAUUGGUCGUUUUGUUAAAUAUUCCAAUUUCUUACAUUUUCAAACAAACAUAUUGGAGAACUUUGAAAAUCUGAGUAAUUUAUACCUUAGUGGUUACAAGAACAGUACAAAAUUAACUACAGACUUAUUUAAUAUUCUAUUAAAAUCCUGUAAAAAUUUAACAAAUUUAACGCUGGAUGAAUGCCGCUUUAUGGAUUUCAUUGCAAUGCCGAAAUUACAACAUCUAUAUCUCCGAGACUGCCGGGGUUUAACUUUUAGAAAUUUAAAAACAAUGUUAAAUGAAAUGCAUUUAAUAUCCUUUUCGUCUGUAUACAUCUCGUAUAGAGGAGAAUUUGAAAACUUCCUUAUUUCAUCGACGCUACAAAAAUUCAGAUGUGAUUUUAGAUGUGAAGAUCUAUUACAAUUAUUAAAAUUCAAUAACCUACUAAAUUUAACAGACUUCAAUUGGAAUAUGUACAGUUUUGAGAAUCGUGCCUUAAAGCUGUCAAAUUUUGCUCCCAACUUGAACGUGUUGUAUAUUCAACAGCUGCAAUUAAAUGUUGAAGACUCUUUCAAAUUGAAAUGUUUACAAAAAAUAGUUCUCACUUCAUAUUCUGGAAUUGUUGUGUCUGAAUUGCUGCUGCUGCUCAAACAUGAACAUUUAAGAGACUUAUCAAUUGACUACGUUAGCGUUUGUGCUGUAGAUGUUGAUUCAAGUGAACUUGUGGCAUUUCGCUGUAAUCUUAUUUUUCUCACUGUUCCCUGGACAAUAAUGGAAGCCAUAUCAGAUUUUUGUUUGGAUUUAUUACAUUUAAAUACAAAAUUAUCCUUAACAUGUUUUAAUAUUUCAAGCGAUUUAAUUACAAAUAUAUUAUCUAAUGCUAAAUUUCCACAUAGAUUUAGCUGUAUAAAUAUCUGUGGUGUUUCUAUAGAUUGUAUUUCUAUCCAGGAACAAUGUGAGGAAGCUAUGAAUCAAAUCAAAUUACUUAUGGAUCACUUUAAAUAUUAUGGGAAACGUUAUUUUACGCUAGAAUAACAUUGUAACAUUGACAUUCUCUAUAAAUGUUGGUACCGUUUUAAAUGUUUUUACUGGAAAUGACUAAAACCAGAUACAAUUCAGCAUCAAUAUGGGAAAUGUUAACCAUCUAAUUUAAAAAAAAAUAAAUUGAAUGACGAAAAAAAUAUUUUAAAUCAAUUGGAAUUAACAGAAAUGUAAUCAUGCAAAGGUUGAAUAAAUUUUAUAAAGAAUUAAUUAUGAAAA